This is a non-coding RNA of Labrus bergylta (ballan wrasse), 222 nucleotides long. Lineage: Eukaryota; Metazoa; Chordata; Actinopteri; Labriformes; Labridae. The record is from RefSeq and is a predicted model, not a curated record.
CAGGUAAAGGAUGUAGGGACUAAGGAUGUACAGGUAAAGGAUGUAGGGACUAAGGAUGUACAGGUAAAAGAUGUAGGGACUAAGGAUGUACAGGUAAAGGAUGUAGGGACUAAGGAUGUACAGGUAAAGGAUGUAGGGACUAAGGAUGUACAGGUAAAGGAUGUAGGGACUAAGGAUGUACAGGUAAAAGAUGUAGGGACUAAGGACUAAGGAUGUACAGGU